GGCCUAAUGGUCUAGAAGUAUGAUACUCGCUUUGGGUGUUUGCCGGCUGCGAGUGGUCCUGGGUUCAAUUCCCAGUUAGGCCC
This 83-nucleotide transfer RNA is filed under the name Trametes sanguinea. RNAcentral describes it as "tRNA-Pro". It matches the Rfam family "tRNA". From Rfam's summary of the family: Transfer RNA (tRNA) molecules are approximately 80 nucleotides in length. The record is from RNAcentral. Lineage: Eukaryota; Fungi; Basidiomycota; Agaricomycetes; Polyporales; Polyporaceae. RNAcentral also lists the same sequence under 1 other name.